RNAcentral lists this ribosomal RNA (642 nucleotides) under uncultured bacterium. RNAcentral describes it as "bacterial SSU rRNA". It matches the Rfam family "Bacterial small subunit ribosomal RNA", at positions 202 to 842 of the family's 1533-position model. The record is from RNAcentral.
GAAAGGCUUCGGCCGGACAGGGAUGGGCAUGCGGCGCAUUAGGCAGUAGGCGGGGUAACGGCCCACCUAACCGACGAUGCGUAGGGGUUCUGAGAGGAAGGUCCCCCACACUGGUACUGAGACACGGACCAGACUCCUACGGGAGGCAGCAGUGAGGAAUAUUGGUCAAUGGUCGGGAGACUGAACCAGCCAAGCCGCGUGAGGGAUGAAGGUACAGAGUAUCGUAAACCUCUUUUGUCAGGGAACAAAGGCGGGGACGUGUCCCCGGAUGAGUGUACCUGAAGAAAAAGCAUCGGCUAACUCCGUGCCAGCAGCCGCGGUAAUACGGAGGAUGCGAGCGUUAUCCGGAUUUAUUGGGUUUAAAGGGUGCGCAGGCGGUCUGUUAAGUCAGCGGUCAAAGCCCGGGGCUCAACCCCGGCCCGCCGUUGAAACUGGCAGUCUCGAGUUGGAGAGAAGUAUGCGGAAUGCGCGGUGUAGCGGUGAAAUGCAUAGAUAUCGCGCAGAACUCCGAUUGCGAAGGCAGCAUGCCGGCUCCACACUGACGCUGAGGCACGAAAGCGUGGGUAUCGAACAGGAUUAGAUACCCUGGUAGUCCACGCAGUAAACGAUGAAAGCUGGCUGUCCGGGGGGAUUGACCCCUGG